UACGAAGGGGGCUAGCGUUGUUCGGAAUUACUGGGCGUAAAGCGCGCGCAGGCGGCUCUUCAAGUCAGGGGUGAAAGCCCAGAGCUCAACUCUGGAACUGCCUUUGAGACUGUAGAGCUUGAGUACGGGAGAGGUGAGUGGAAUUCCCAGUGUAGAGGUGAAAUUCGUAGAUAUGACAUAGAACACCAAUUGCGAAGGCAGCUGGCUACACAUAUAUUGACACUGAGGCACGAAAGCGUGGGGAUCAAACAGG
RNAcentral lists this ribosomal RNA (253 nucleotides) under uncultured bacterium. RNAcentral's name for it is "partial 16S ribosomal RNA". It matches the Rfam family "Bacterial small subunit ribosomal RNA", at positions 524 to 776 of the family's 1533-position model. The record is from RNAcentral.